Molecule: ribosomal RNA, 253 nt
Filed under: uncultured bacterium
Lineage: Bacteria
Description: partial 16S ribosomal RNA
Rfam family: Bacterial small subunit ribosomal RNA
Source: RNAcentral
UACGGGGGGGGCAAGCGUUGUUCGGAAUUACUGGGCGUAAAGGGCCAGUAGGCGGCCAACUAAGUCGGAUGUGAAAUCCCCAGGCUCAACUUGGGAACUGCAUCCGAUACUGGAUGGCUUGAAUUCGGGAGAGGGAUGCAGAAUUCCAGGUGUAGCGGUGAAAUGCGUAGAUAUCUGGAGGAAUACCGGUGGCGAAGGCAGCACUCUGGGACGGUACUGACGCUGAGACGCGAAAGCGUGGGGAGCAAACAGG